Molecule: ribosomal RNA, 1126 nt
Filed under: Bacillus sp. (in: firmicutes)
Lineage: Bacteria; Bacillati; Bacillota; Bacilli; Caryophanales; Bacillaceae
Description: bacterial SSU rRNA
Rfam family: Bacterial small subunit ribosomal RNA
Source: RNAcentral
GUCGAGCGGACAGAAGGGAGCUUGCUCCCGGAUGUUAGCGGCGGACGGGUGAGUAACACGUGGGUAACCUGCCUGUAAGACUGGGAUAACUCCGGGAAACCGGAGCUAAUACCGGAUAGUUCCUUGAACCGCAUGGUUCAAGGAUGAAAGACGGUUUCGGCUGUCACUUACAGAUGGACCCGCGGCGCAUUAGCUAGUUGGUGAGGUAACGGCUCACCAAGGCGACGAUGCGUAGCCGACCUGAGAGGGUGAUCGGCCACACUGGGACUGAGACACGGCCCAGACUCCUACGGGAGGCAGCAGUAGGGAAUCUUCCGCAAUGGACGAAAGUCUGACGGAGCAACGCCGCGUGAGUGAUGAAGGUUUUCGGAUCGUAAAGCUCUGUUGUUAGGGAAGAACAAGUGCAAGAGUAACUGCUUGCACCUUGACGGUACCUAACCAGAAAGCCACGGCUAACUACGUGCCAGCAGCCGCGGUAAUACGUAGGUGGCAAGCGUUGUCCGGAAUUAUUGGGCGUAAAGGGCUCGCAGGCGGUUUCUUAAGUCUGAUGUGAAAGCCCCCGGCUCAACCGGGGAGGGUCAUUGGAAACUGGGAAACUUGAGUGCAGAAGAGGAGAGUGGAAUUCCACGUGUAGCGGUGAAAUGCGUAGAGAUGUGGAGGAACACCAGUGGCGAAGGCGACUCUCUGGUCUGUAACUGACGCUGAGGAGCGAAAGCGUGGGGAGCGAACAGGAUUAGAUACCCUGGUAGUCCACGCCGUAAACGAUGAGUGCUAAGUGUUAGGGGGUUUCCGCCCCUUAGUGCUGCAGCUAACGCAUUAAGCACUCCGCCUGGGGAGUACGGUCGCAAGACUGAAACUCAAAGGAAUUGACGGGGGCCCGCACAAGCGGUGGAGCAUGUGGUUUAAUUCGAAGCAACGCGAAGAACCUUACCAGGUCUUGACAUCCUCUGACAACCCUAGAGAUAGGGCUUUCCCUUCGGGGACAGAGUGACAGGUGGUGCAUGGUUGUCGUCAGCUCGUGUCGUGAGAUGUUGGGUUAAGUCCCGCAACAAGCGCAACCCUUGAUCUUAGUUGCCAGCAUUCAGUUGGGCACUCUAAGGUGACUGCCGGUGACAAACCGGAGGAA